AUCCAGGUGACGAGUCUCAAAUAGGACGAAACGCCCGUCCAACUGGAU
Schistosoma rodhaini is the source of this 48-nucleotide non-coding RNA. NCBI's taxonomy places the organism in Eukaryota, Metazoa, Platyhelminthes, Trematoda, Strigeidida, Schistosomatidae. The record is from Rfam.